AGUGAACGCUGGCGGUAGGCCUAACACAUGCAAGUCGAACGGCAGCACAGUAAGAGCUUGCUCUUACGGGUGGCGAGUGGCGGACGGGUGAGGAAUACAUCGGAAUCUACUUUUUCGUGGGGGAUAACGUAGGGAAACUUACGCUAAUACCGCAUACGACCUACGGGUGAAAGCAGGGGAUCUUCGGACCUUGCGCGAUUGAAUGAGCCGAUGUCGGAUUAGCUAGUUGGCGGGGUAAAGGCCCACCAAGGCGACGAUCCGUAGCUGGUCUGAGAGGAUGAGAAGGCAAAACUGGAAAGAGAAACGGGUCAAAAAACCAAGGGGAGGAAGGAGGGGGAAAAAUGGGAAAAGGGGCGAAAGCCUGAACCAGCAAAACCGGGGGGGGAAAGAAGGCCUUGGGGUGGAAAAGCCUUUUUGUUGGGAAAAAAAAGAAGCAGGUUAAAACCCCGCUGCUGUGAGGGAACCAAAAGAAAAAGCACCGGCAAACUUGGG
Molecule: ribosomal RNA, 492 nt
Filed under: uncultured bacterium
Lineage: Bacteria
Description: partial 16S ribosomal RNA
Rfam family: Bacterial small subunit ribosomal RNA
Source: RNAcentral